This 782-nucleotide ribosomal RNA is filed under the name Auraticoccus sp. RNAcentral's name for it is "bacterial SSU rRNA". It matches the Rfam family "Bacterial small subunit ribosomal RNA", at positions 53 to 848 of the family's 1533-position model. Lineage: Bacteria; Bacillati; Actinomycetota; Actinomycetes; Propionibacteriales; Propionibacteriaceae. The record is from RNAcentral.
ACAUGCAAGUCGAACGGUAAGGCCCCUUCGGGGGUACACGAGUGGCGAACGGGUGAGUAACACGUGAGCAACCUGCCUCUGACUUUGGGAUAACAGUAGGAAACUGCUGCUAAUACCGGAUAUCACCUCCUUCUGCAUGGUGGGGGGUUGAAAGCUUUUGCGGUCAGGGAUGGGCUCGCGGCCUAUCAGCUUGUUGGUGAGGUAAUGGCUCACCAAGGCUUCGACGGGUAGCCGGCCUGAGAGGGCGACCGGCCACACUGGGACUGAGAUACGGCCCAGACUCCUACGGGAGGCAGCAGUGGGGAAUAUUGCACAAUGGGCGGAAGCCUGAUGCAGCAACGCCGCGUGCGGGAUGACGGCCUUCGGGUUGUAAACCGCUUUCACUCAUGACGAAGCGCAAGUGACGGUAGUGAGAGAAGAAGCACCGGCCAACUACGUGCCAGCAGCCGCGGUGAUACGUAGGGUGCGAGCGUUGUCCGGAAUUAUUGGGCGUAAAGAGCUCGUAGGCGGUCUGUCACGUCGGAAGUGAAAACUCAGGGCUCAACCCUGAGCCUGCUCCCGAUACGGGCAGACUUGAGGAAGGUAGGGGAGAACGGAAUUCCUGGUGGAGCGGUGGAAUGCUCAGAUAUCAGGAGGAACACCGGUGGCGAAGGCGGUUCUCUGGACCUUUCCUGACGCUGAGGAGCGAAAGCGUGGGGAGCAAACAGGCUUAGAUACCCUGGUAGUCCACGCCGUAAACGGUGGGCACUAGGUGUGGGGGACAUUCCACGUUCUCCGUGCCG